Molecule: ribosomal RNA, 279 nt
Filed under: uncultured archaeon
Lineage: Archaea
Description: partial 16S rRNA
Rfam family: Archaeal small subunit ribosomal RNA
Source: RNAcentral
AGGACCCGUGCCCACAGUUGCCAGCAUACCCUCCGGGGUGAUGGGCACACUGUGGGGACCGCCGCUGCUAAAGCGGAGGAAGGUGCGGGCUACGGUAGGUCAGUAUGCCCCGAAUCAUCCGGGCUACACGCGGGCUACAAUGGUUGGGACAAUGGGCACCUACACCGAGAGGUGAUGGUAAUCUCCUAAACCCAGCCUUAGUUCGGAUUGAGGGCUGCAACUCGCCCUCAUGAAGCCGGAAUCCGUAGUAAUCGCGUAUCAAUAUCACGCGGUGAAUAC